Molecule: long non-coding RNA, 2183 nt
Organism: Raphanus sativus (radish)
Lineage: Eukaryota; Viridiplantae; Streptophyta; Magnoliopsida; Brassicales; Brassicaceae
Exons: 11
Source: RefSeq, a predicted model, not a curated record
AAUCGCAUUUCUCUCGGUUGAGCUUCAAUGGCGUUACGUUCUUCCUCUUCGUGACUUUUGCAAUUUCUCUAAUAACUCUUAUCUUCUCCUAUUAACUUCAUCAAUAACUGAAUCCUUUUCAACUUUCUUCUCUCUCUCUCUCUCUAUAAGGAACAUGAAAGUGAAAAAAUGAGUUUUACACAAACUCGGUUUCAAUCGAUCUCAAUGAUCCAAAAUGGAAAAAAGUAGCAUAGCUGCUUGGUGUGAAGGCUGUGUUUCUUCUCCCCUGUCCAUGGUCGAAUCGCUCCUAAUGUUGAAUGUUUGACAAGGCACCACCACCUUUCUCAUCCAACCCGAGCAACCCAUCGAUAUUCUCAUCGGCAUUUCGUCGAACAGAUAGCGCGCACACCGCCCGUUCCCACAGAAACGACACGAGGGCUUUCUCCGGGACGGCGACUUUAAAGCCCUGGAGAACACGGCGGAGCGAGGUUUUGAGACCGUGCCAUUUGUUCAUUGUGGCGAAAAUCUGCUGCGAGCUUAAAGUCCGAGCUUGAUAGCUUUGUGGGUCAUUGAUUCGAGGCAAUUCUCGAGGUGGGUUUUGCAGUUCGAUAGCGAUGGUUGCAUCAUUGCUUCAAGCUGCAAUAUCGAGAGCUCCUCUGAAUGUUCCUGGAAGUGCUUCUGGUUCUGGUCCUGGCACCACCAAUUCAUUACCUUCCAUGAUCCCAGCCGGAAGUGCUCCUCCACUUUCACCUAGAAGCUGCGGUUCACCGCGUACGAUGAAACAGAGGGCUCCUUCUAAGUUAGGCUCUCCUCUUAAAGUGCUCAACGAGCCUGUUAAAAGUCCAUAUCUCAGGAAUACUCAAACGGAGGUUUACGGGAUUUACGGUGGUUUGCUCCGGGAUUUACGGUGGUUUUCGCAAGAGCUUCAACUAUGCUUUUUCAUAUUACAUGGGCAACAUUAUCAGAACUGGCCAUGGAAAGACACGAGUAAGUUUGAUGCCAAGAUCCCUAAUCAUGAAUUUGACAACUUCAGUUUGCGAAUUUCACAGAGAUCAUAAAGAGAUUCAUCAGAGUCAGCCAAAGAAACUGAUUUUGCUCCUGUUUCUAUAAUGGAGAUUCCCUUUCACUAUCAGGCAGGCUGGUCCAGACGCGACCUCUCUGCUUCUAUAAGAGGCUAGGAAUGUUUUAAAAAGGAGGCCAAUUGAUGGUUGUUGAUAUGCUGUUUCUCGAUGCCAAGGAAAUGGGAACUGCGAUUCAGGCAUCUAUUAAUGUUCACCGGCUCAACACCUUCCAAUACUUUUUGAGUGGAGGGUCUGUUUAUGAGCUUAGUGUUUUCGAUGUAACCAGACACAAAUAUAUGUCUUAAGUGUUUUCGACAUACUUGCUAAGCUUCUUGAUGAAUAUUUGCUAAAGAGAGAAUAAACCGAGGGUGGUGGUGGCCACCAACAUCAGACCCAAAUGAUUUGGAGAGAGACUUUACCUAAAUGCAACCUCUUCCAUAAUGACUGUGAUGCUGGGAGAAGUUAUCUCCAGACGUAUGCAUGCUUAAGGAUGAACCUCAAACCCUACAAAGUAUCAUGGUGUUAAGAAGAUUGAGGCAAUGACGUGGGAGAACUAAAUGACUACGCCCUCAAAUCUGCACCUCAGCGGAAAUGACCACCCAGUCGACGAUACGCCAGGGGCUGGAGCUGUCAACAGAAGCCACAUUGAUAGGGUCAAUAGCAGUGGCGUGAAUGAAGGUGGGUGUAUCGAAACUGCCCAUGUCUAAGGUGGAGAAGAUGAGCGCCAAGUACAAACUCAGGUGAAGGUGGAACCUAAGCGAGGAUGCUCAAGUCAACAUGAACAAUUUGGGUCCUCCGGAAAUAAACCACGGACUGAGUAAUGGAGCUCAUUUCAACUACAAUAACUGAAAGAUCAAGCUCUGCUAUUCCACCAAAACCAAGGUAAUUAAUUGCUCACUGAGCAAAGGUAUGCAAAUUCUUUAUCCAAAAAGAAGAUGCUCCUAUGUAAUGCAGUUGUGGUUUCUUUGAAUUUGCUCUCCACGGGAAAGAGCUGAAGAAUGUAUUUUGGGCCUUUUUUGUGGCAUAAGUGAAGAAUGGGCCUUCUGAUCUCAUCACCUUUAUUUUUAUUUUUGUAAAUUAGUCAAACCUUAACCCUCUUGAAUGCUACUUACAUUUAGUGACUCUAAUCAAUUUUUUGAUGAA